CCCGGUGGCUAUAGCGGAGGGGCCACACCCGUUCCCAUUCCGAACACGGAAGUUAAGCCCUCCAGCGCCGAUGGUACUGCUUGGGCGACCUUGUGGGAGAGUAGGACGUCGCCGGGU
This 117-nucleotide ribosomal RNA is filed under the name candidate division TA06 bacterium SM1_40. The record is from RNAcentral.